UCAGACGAUGCGUCAUGCAUAUCAAUAAGCGGAGGAAAAGAAACUAACAAGGAUUCCCUCAGUAACGGCGAGUGAAGCGGGAAGAGCUCAAAUUUGAAAUCUUGAAAGGUCACCUUUCACGAAUUGUAGUUUAAAUGAAGUGUUUUCUGUUACGAUCGUAAUAUAAGUUCUUUGGAAUAGGACAUCACAGAGGGUGAGAAUCCCGUCUAUGAUUGCGAUUUGUAGCUUUGUGAUACACUUUCAAAGAGUCGGGUUGUUUGGGAAUGCAGCCCAAAACGGGAGGUAAAUUUCUUCUAAGGCUAAAUAUUGGCGAGAGACCGAUAGCGAACAAGUACCGUGAGGGAAAGAUGAAAAGAACUUUGAAAAGAGAGUUAAAUAGUACGUGAAAUUGUCAAAAGGGAAGCGUUUAACACCAGUGUUGUUUUCUGAAAAUCAACCUCUGUUAGCUUUAUGCAUGUUUGUUUAGACCUAAUCAGCUAUCUUGCAUGUUCUAUUGUUUGCAGUGGUGCACUUUUCAGUUUACAGGUCAACAUCAGUUUUUUUUACCGUAAAAAAGUUAAAGAAAGGUAGCUCAUGGCUCCGGUCGUGAGUGUUAUAGUCUUUUUCCUAUGCGGUAGGAGAGACUGAGGUCUGCAGUGUAGGCUAUUUGGCUAGAUACUCAGGUGCUAUGUGAUACCAUUUCAUAAACAACUUGUUGAUUAUGUUUUGUCUAUUGCAUACUCGCUUGUACUAUCAUACCUACGCUUAGGAUGUUGACUGAUAUGUAGUCGUA
Molecule: ribosomal RNA, 772 nt
Filed under: uncultured Neocallimastigales
Lineage: Eukaryota; Fungi; Neocallimastigomycota; Neocallimastigomycetes; Neocallimastigales
Description: partial large subunit ribosomal RNA
Rfam family: Eukaryotic large subunit ribosomal RNA
Source: RNAcentral